Ictalurus punctatus (channel catfish) is the source of this 815-nucleotide long non-coding RNA. Lineage: Eukaryota; Metazoa; Chordata; Actinopteri; Siluriformes; Ictaluridae. The record is from Ensembl.
CAUCAUCAUCAUCCUCACAGCACACAGAAAGAGUUAGGUAAUCAUCAUCAUCAUCAUCGUUAUCAUCAUCAUUAUCAUCAUCAUCAUCGUCAUCAUUAUCAUCAUCAUCGUCAUCAUUGCAUCAUCAUCAUCGUCACUGCACACAGAAAGAGUUCGGUAAUCAUCAUCAUCAUCAUCAUCAUCAUUAUCAUCAUCAUCAUCGUCACCAUUAUCAUCAUCAUCAUCAUCAUUGCAUCAUCAUCAUUGUCACUGCACACAGAAAGAGUUAGGUAAUCAUCAUCAUCAUCAUCGUUAUCAUCAUCAUUAUCAUCAUCAUCAUCGUCAUCAUUAUCAUCAUCAUCGUCAUCAUUGCAUCAUCAUCAUCGUCACUGCACACAGAAAGAGUUCGGUAAUCAUCAUCAUCAUCAUCAUCAUUAUUAUCAUCAUCAUCAUCAUUAUCAUCGUCAUCAUCGUCAUCAUUAUCAUCAUCAUCGUCAUCAUUGCAUCAUCAUCAUCGUCACUGCACACAGAAAGAGUUCGGUAAUCAUCAUCAUCAUCAUCAUCAUUAUCAUCAUCAUCAUCGUCACCAUUAUCAUCAUCAUCAUCAUCAUUGCAUCAUCAUCAUUGUCACUGCACACAGAAAGAGUUAGGUAAUCAUCAUCAUCAUCAUGAUCGUCAUCAUUAUUAUCAUCAUCAUCGCCAUCAUCAUCAUCCUCACUGCACACAGAAAGAGUUGGGUAAUCAUCAUCAUUAUUAUUAUCAUCAUCAUCAUCAUCAUCGUCACUGCACACAGAAAGAGUUAGGAAAUCAUCAUUAUUAUCAACAUCAUCAUCAUU